UUCAGUGGCGAGCUUAACCGAAUAGGGGAGGCGUAGCGAAAGCGAGUCUUAAUAGGGCGUCGAGUUCGUGGGAUCAGACCCGAAACCGAGUGAUCUAGGCAUGACCAGGAUGAAGGUAAGGUAACACUUACUGGAGGGCCGAACCCACACCUGUUGAAAAAGGUCGGGAUGAGUUGUGCCUAGGGGUGAAAGGCCAAUCAAACUCGGAGAUAGCUGGUUCUCCGCGAAAUCUAUUUAGGUAGAGCGUCAUCCGAAUACCCCGGGGGGUAGAGCACUGGAUGGGUAAUGGGGCCCCACAGGCUUACUGAUCCUAACCAAACUCCGAAUACCCGGGAGUACUAGAUGGCAGACACACUGCGGAUGCUAACGUCCGUAGUGGAGAGGGAAACAACCC
RNAcentral lists this ribosomal RNA (394 nucleotides) under uncultured Micromonas. Its description in RNAcentral is "partial Bacterial large subunit ribosomal RNA". It matches the Rfam family "Bacterial large subunit ribosomal RNA", at positions 633 to 1028 of the family's 2925-position model. Lineage: Eukaryota; Viridiplantae; Chlorophyta; Mamiellophyceae; Mamiellales. The record is from RNAcentral.